GGCCUCGCCCAACUAGUCCUGGUAUGCCUGGGGCUUCCCGGGUUUUAGCACUGAAAGGCCCACGUCCCGGACGAACCGGGACAGUUGGUCCCCCUCCGUGAGCAAACUUGCUCCUCCGCCCGGAGGGGAGAAGGCGGGGCCGAUGGGCCCCACCCCAGCGCGCAGGGCCUUCAGCCAUUGACCGAGAGCGGGACAGAGCACCCGGGCGAGCUCUGCCGGGCAACCCGAGCCCGAUUCUCAGCCGCUGCCCAGAGCCUCUCAGCCUCAGGCCCCUCCCUGGCACUGCCUUUCCCAGACCCGCUUCUUCCUGGAAAAUCAAGAUUGAGCUGAGCUGGAGAGUGUGCCUGGCAAAACCUGAGCCCCAAGCAUUUCUGCCCUGAUUGGAUCCUUGUCACUAACCAAGCUUAUUCCAAGCUUGGGACCUUUACACCGUCCUCUGCCUGGAAUCCCCAAGAUGGAUGCACAGCUGGCUCCUUCCAAUCAUCGUUCCAGUCUCACUUCAUGCGUCACCUCAGGGAGGUGACCUGAUCACCAUCAUUGUAGGUCCUUCUGGUUGUGCUAUGCAGGACGCUGCCCCAGCAUGGCUUGAUGAGCGGUGCCAUGUCCCCGCCCAGGAUCUGAACCGGCAAAACCCUGGGCCGCUGAAGCAGAGUGCGUGAACUUAACCACUCGGCCACGGGGCCGGCCCUCAGCACUUUCUUUUUAAAACUCCUAGAAUCCAACUAAUGAAAACUAAUUUGCUGAAAAAUCAAUGUGCUGAAUUCUUAACGAUUUGGGGAAAAUUUGAGUUUCACUCUAGUCCUGGGUGGUACCAGACAAACACCUUCAACCAAGUCUAGGUCAAUUCACUGCAGCUGUCCUGCAGCCAGAGGCAGCAGCAUGGAUGAUAGCAAAGCAAAAUCUUGGGGGGGAAAUCCCUAGGCAUGGGUUGACUUGGUCACUUAGCAAUUGGGUAUACAGGGGAGGAUCCCAGGCAGUGGGGUGGCCUCUUUCCAUGGGGCCCAGGGCCAAGCUGGGGGUGGGAUUAGAAGCGAAGAUGAGGGGUAGCAAGGUCCAUCUCAAAGUGGAGCUUUUCCAACAUACUGAGAGCCAUGAGCUGAGCCACACCCCAAGAAGAUGCUCUGGUAAAUCUGCAUGAUCUUGGCUUGACACUGGAAUCUUAGGUAUGACACCUAAAGUACAGACAACAAAAGAAAAAAUAGAUCAAUUGGAUUUCAUCAAAAUUAAAACUUUUUUGUAUCAAAGGACGUUAUCAAGAAAGUGAAAAGACAAACUACAGAAUAGGAGAAAGUAUUUGUAAAUCAUAUAUCUGAUAUACAUCCAGAAUAUAUAAAGAACUCUUAUGAAAGACAAACAUCAUAUGAUUUCACUCAUAUGUGGAAGAUAAACAAACACACAGAUAAGGAGAACAGAUUAGUGGUUACCAGAGGUGAAGGGGGUUACUGGAGAGGAAGGGAGGGUGAAAGGGGUAAAGAGGCAUGUGUGUGUGGUGACAGAUAAAAACUAGACUAUUGGUGGUGAGCACGAUACAGUCUAUACAGAAACUGAAAUAUAAUAAUGUACACCUGAAAUU
RNAcentral lists this long non-coding RNA (1573 nucleotides) under Equus caballus (horse). Its description in RNAcentral is "lncRNA (ENSECAG00000054570.1)". The record is from RNAcentral. Lineage: Eukaryota; Metazoa; Chordata; Mammalia; Perissodactyla; Equidae.